UAAAGCAGAGCUUAGAGGGAAAUAUAUAGUUUUAAAGGCUAAAGUUUUUUUUAAAAAAAGAAAGGGCUAAAAACAAUUACCUAAAGAAGCCAUAAGAAGAUUAAAUUACACUCAAGUAAAAAAAAAAAAAAACCACUAAGUAAGCCUUGGCAGAAGUACUGCAUGCAGGAUAGGCAAACCCAUAUCCAGAGUAAGUGUCUAUUCCAGUGAGGACAAACAUCUGCCCUUUCCAUGAUGGAAGAGGUCCAAUAUAAUUAACCUGUCACCAGGUAGCUGGCUGAUCACCCCGAAGAAUGGUAGGAAUGUGUUGCCUCCAAAAUCCAAGUAGGCCCACUAGGCAUUGUGCUUCUUUCUUGGUUGUAGGAGGGGCCAAAUGCAGCAACUUAUCCCUCACCUUAGAAGGAAUAUCCCAAUAGGCCCCAUACCACUGGACCUCUAGAAAUUUUACUGAAGUACAAGGUCCCUGAAUUUUAGUCUCAUUUAUUUCACAUCCUCUGGCAUGCAAAUGUCUCACCAAUAAGUACAGUGUGUUUGCUUCUUCUUGCUCACUGGAUCCAAUCAGCAUAAUGUCAUCAAUGUAAUGCACCAGUGUGAUAUCUUGAGGAAGCGUGGUGAUCAAGGUCUCUCCAAAUAAGAUUAUGACACAAAGCCAGAGAGUUGAUAUACCCCUGAGGUAGGAUGGUAAAGGUAUAUUGCUGGCCUUGCCAGCUGAAGGCAAAUUGCUUCUGGUGGGCCAUAUGGGCAGGAAUGGAGAAAAAGGCAUUUGCCAAGUCAAUAGCUGCAUACCAAGUACCAGGAGAUGUGUUAAUUUUCUCAAGCAAUGAAACUACGUCUGGUACAGCAGCCGCAAUUGGAAUCACCACUUGGUUAAGCUUAUGACAAUCCACUGUCAUUCUCCAAGAUCCACCUGUCUUCUGCACAGGCCAGAUGGAAGUGUCAAGUGCGGAUGUGCUGAGAAUCACCACCCCUGUGUCCUUCAAGUCCCUGAUGGUGGCACUAAUCUCUGCAAUCCC
Molecule: long non-coding RNA, 1013 nt
Filed under: Homo sapiens (human)
Lineage: Eukaryota; Metazoa; Chordata; Mammalia; Primates; Hominidae
Description: non-protein coding lnc-ITPRIP-5:1
Source: RNAcentral